AAAACCACUAGAUUAAUAGACCUUCCUGUGGUAAGAGGCAGAGCGCUAUCUCCGAGUCUCAGGCCAUCUGCCAAGGUGAAACGAAGUUCCUUUCUUCCCCACCGGAACAAGCCCUGCCUUCAUCGUCAGCCCCUAUAACAUCACCAGGCUACUUAUCCAUGGUAGGCAUUCAUUGUGUUUCGAGUGAGCAUUCUCAAAGGCAGACUCUGACCACAUCUGUCUUUCCUCGUGGGUAAGAAGUGGGUUCCGGUGGAAGGAAUGUCCUGGGCAGGGUUUUAGUCUUGGUUCUGAAAGCGUGCAUGGUUCAGCUCUCUACAAGGCAGCCCGAACCCGGCCUGCCGUAAGCUGUGGGUGCCAGUACCACGAUCAUUUGGAUGCCAAUGUGCUUAUCUUUUCAGAGCAGGCUUGUAUCUUAAACCCAUUUGCAUGACAGAGGCUUCUUUUCAACCAGGGCUUUCUUUUCUCUGGUGGAGGCCAGCCUGGUCUACAAAGUGAGUUUCAGGACACCCAGGCCUAUACAGAGAAACCCUGUCUCAGAAUAAAUAAAAAAUAAAUAAAUAAAUAAACAAAAAACAAAACAAACAACAACAAAAAUACAAGUCACAGCGGCUGGCACUUCAGUUACUCAGGAUGCUUUAAGUGAUUUAUGUGGACACUCAGUUCAAGCACCCAACUCUAGAUUUGUGCUCCUGAUACCGUGCUCUCGGACAAGCUGUCCAUCAGUGAAUUUCCUCACUCAGGGGUCCCAAGUCCAGCCUGACUUCUGCUUUUUCGUAGCAAGAUGUCUGUUGGGCCCGAUCUCCCCUGCUCCACCUCUUUUCGUUCACUGUGUGCCCUGGAGACACACAGCGACCUGCCGGACUCCAGUCUCCCCAGCCUUCAUGGCUCCUCAAGCCCUUGCCAAGCUGCUCCCUGUUGUGGAUAUCAACAUGUUUUUGUUUUGAUCCCAGGUGUAGAAUAUAGGACUGAUUCAAAUGGUCCACAGCAGCAAAGUAUUGGCCUCAUGCAGUCUCUGAAAGGGGCUCUUCGCAGGCUGAAGAUAGUUUAUAUUCUGAGGUCUCUGAGAGGGAAUAAAGGCCAGAGCCCAGAGAGUGUGGGGGAAGGCUGGUGCUCCCUGCUGCUGUUCCUGCUGGCUGUUGUUGCAGUUUGACAAGAAGCUGGAGAUACCCUGAAACGAAGACUUUCCCCAAGGAACCCAAGGACUCUAACCAGCAGGAGAGUCAAGAAUCCUGCUCUCACCUGCAUCUCUGGAAAAUAUUCCUGGGUGGCGGCACUGGGUAACUGUGUCUCCAGCCAGUGCCUCACUGCCACAGACAGGACAAGCACCCUGAGGAGGGAGAGCUGCUCUCCAUCUGUCAAGGCUUCUGGAGGAAAGGUACUGCUGUUUGGAAUAGGGGUCAGGCGGGAUGGGCUCAUUCUGGAGCAAGGAAAUGGAGCAAGCUGAGCCACUGAGCAGGGACUCUCCAGCCACAACCAGGAGACGGUCACACUAAACCAGGAUUUGGCCAUGGCUGGAGUCUGCUAAUCAACAUCAUGUAGGAUACAGUUCCUAUGGACCAACCUAGGACUGAGCAAUGGAGCCUUUACUGUUUGA
This is a long non-coding RNA of Meriones unguiculatus (Mongolian gerbil), 1594 nucleotides long. RefSeq lists it as uncharacterized. Lineage: Eukaryota; Metazoa; Chordata; Mammalia; Rodentia; Muridae. The record is from RefSeq and is a predicted model, not a curated record. The transcript has 3 exons.